Molecule: ribosomal RNA, 460 nt
Filed under: uncultured bacterium
Lineage: Bacteria
Description: partial 16S ribosomal RNA
Rfam family: Bacterial small subunit ribosomal RNA
Source: RNAcentral
CCUACGGGAGGCAGCAGUGAGGAAUAUUGGUCAAUGGACGGACGUCUGAACCAGCCAUGCCGCGUGCAGGAAGACGGCUCUAUGAGUUGUAAACUGCUUUUAUACAAGGGUAAACCUGAAUACGUGUAUUCAGCUGAAAGUACUUUAAGAAUAAGGAUCGGCUAACUCCGUGCCAGCAGCCGCGGUCAUACGGAGGAUCCAAGCGUUAUCCGGAUUUAUUGGGUUUAAAGGGUGCGUAGGCGGAUUGAGAAGUUAGAGGUGAAAUGUCCGAGCUUAACUCGGGAACGGCCUCUAAUACUGUUGAUCUAGAGAGUAGAUGCGGUAGGCGGAAUGUAUGGUGUAGCGGUGAAAGGCUUAGAGAUCAUACAGAACACCGAUUGCGAAGGCAGCUUACCAAUCUAUAACUGACGCUGAGGCACGAAAGCGUGGGGAGCAAACAGGAUUAGAUACCCUUGUAGUC